AUGCGUUUUGGGGAAGAAACUGCAAACUACAGACACCUGAGCGUACAACUGGAAAAAAGCCGUCGAUUGCUAGCGAUUUUUGGGAUAUUGACCGUCUGCCGAAUUGCAGACACCCUUCUUCUCUCUCCUCCUUCUCUUUCCUCCACGUGGACGAAAAUCCUAACUGGCAAUAGCUUACAGACUGCUGACUCAUCGCUGUUGUACAUGCCCUCAGGCUCCGCAUGUGAGGCCACGAGGAGCGACCAUCUGGUUUUGAGACAGCUCUCGAAACCUCGUCUUGUCUUCCUCGGAGCCGGCGGCGAAGCGAGCGGCGGUGCUCUUCUCGACGACUACGUGGAGGAGACGAACCCGGCCAUAAGUCCGUGUGGAUUCAAGAAAAUGGAUGAGAAGCCAUAA
RNAcentral lists this ribosomal RNA (396 nucleotides) under Triticum aestivum (bread wheat). RNAcentral's name for it is "partial small subunit ribosomal RNA". The record is from RNAcentral. Lineage: Eukaryota; Viridiplantae; Streptophyta; Magnoliopsida; Poales; Poaceae.